RNAcentral lists this ribosomal RNA (459 nucleotides) under uncultured bacterium. Its description in RNAcentral is "partial 16S ribosomal RNA". It matches the Rfam family "Bacterial small subunit ribosomal RNA", at positions 338 to 795 of the family's 1533-position model. The record is from RNAcentral.
CCUACGGGAGGCAGCAGUGAGGAAUAUUGGUCAAUGGGCGGGAGCCUGAACCAGCCAAGUCGCGUGAGGGAAGAAGGUACUGAGUAUUGUAAACCUCUUUUGCCAGGGGACAAAGGCGGCCACGGGUGGCCGUAAGAGGGUACCUGGAGAAAAAGCAUCGGCUAACUCCGUGCCAGCAGCCGCGGUAAUACGGAGGAUGCGAGCGUUAUCCGGAUUUAUUGGGUUUAAAGGGUGCGCAGGCGGCGUGUCAAGUCAGCGGUAAAAUGUCUGGGCUCAACCCCGGCCGGCCGUUGAAACUGGCGGGCUCGAGUUGGAGAGAAGUAUGCGGAAUUCGUGGUGUAGCGGUGAAAUGCAUAGAUAUCACGAAGAACCCCGAUUGCGAAGGCAGCAGACCGGCUCCACACUGACGCUGAGGCACGAAAGUGUGGGUAUCAAACAGGAUUAGAGACCCUAGUAGUC